AGAGUUUGAUCCUGGCUCAGAGCGAACGCUGGCGGCGUGCUUAACACAUGCAAGUCGAGUGCGCGUCCGUAGCAAUACGGAUGGCGCACGGCGCACGGGUGCGUAACACGUGGGCAAUCUGCCCUCGGAUGGGGGAUAACUCGCCGAAAGGCGAGCUAAUACCGCAUGACAUUCCUGGAACCACGGUUUCGGGAUUCAAA
Molecule: ribosomal RNA, 200 nt
Filed under: uncultured bacterium
Lineage: Bacteria
Description: partial 16S ribosomal RNA
Rfam family: Bacterial small subunit ribosomal RNA
Source: RNAcentral